RNAcentral lists this ribosomal RNA (253 nucleotides) under uncultured bacterium. RNAcentral describes it as "partial 16S ribosomal RNA". It matches the Rfam family "Bacterial small subunit ribosomal RNA", at positions 524 to 776 of the family's 1533-position model. The record is from RNAcentral.
UACGAAGGGGGCUAGCGUUGUUCGGAAUUACUGGGCGUAAAGCGCGCGCAGGCGGUCUUCCAAGUCAGUGGUGAAAGCCUGGAGCUCAACUCCAGAACUGCCAUUGAAACUGUUAGACUUGAGUACGAGAGAGGUGAGUGGAAUUCCCAGUGUAGAGGUGAAAUUCGUAGAUAUUGGGAAGAACACCGGUGGCGAAGGCGGCCAUCUGGACCGCAACUGACGCUGAGGCGCGAAAGCGUGGGGAGCAAACAGG